This is an RNA transcript of Solenopsis invicta (red fire ant), 1426 nucleotides long. RefSeq lists it as uncharacterized. The record is from RefSeq and is a predicted model, not a curated record. The transcript is spliced from 9 exons. Lineage: Eukaryota; Metazoa; Arthropoda; Insecta; Hymenoptera; Formicidae.
GGGGUUGUGCCAUAAAUGUCGCGUGGCUUAUCCCGGAUCCCGUCGCCAGAUCGGCGCCACCGUGUACAUCACCAACUGUAUACUAGUCCACACUUUUGGUGGCAGCAGCCCAGUCUAAGGUCCAAUCCCCGAACCGAACGGUCGCCCGAAAUACUUAGCGAACGAGUGUGGUUAGCAGUUCAGUAGAGUGGCAAAAUGGACGCGCGAUUCAGAAGCAAUCUCGACAUGAUCGGGCGCAACGAGCCCAUCACAAGAAAGGCGAAAUUUUGGCAAAGUUACGUACGGGCCCUGAAAGGUACUGACGACAUCAGAGCUCCUGAGCACACUCACAGGCCCCGCAGCAUUUUCCGCUCGGAAUUUCCUGAGCUGCAUUCCACCUCGUGGCCGUUUGGAAAGUCAAUCUACGAAAACCCGAUUCACGCAGCCGACCGUAUUAAUGUUCCCGGAUACAGGUAUCUACCCGUGCACCGUGAGAUCUACGGUUACUCACCAAGGCAGCUGUAUCCCCAUCAGUACAAACCCAUAGAGCGCUUCACCCCCGCAAAACCAUUCGACGCUGAGAAGGCUUGGACUGAUCAUCUCAACCGCUUGGCGGAUAUCGACAGAAUGUACCCUAGCAAAUCACCGCUCUUGGCUCGUCAUUUAAGCCCACCGCUCAGUAUGAAACGAUUGUUCGAUAUUCAUGGUAAUCUCGUGGACGACGAUUUCUUAUUGCCACGUCCAAGGGUCCUGUUGCGCAAGAAGCCGUUCUACGAUCUCCUGGAACCAUCACCAAUGGCACCGAUUAGUGCGUUUACCAGGGACCCAUGGUGGUACCCGAGCUACGCGCCUUAUAUUCCGAGUUACGCUCAAUACCGCACACCGUUCUUUCUGAGGGACAGUUAUCUCAGCCCAAUUAAGCGUAGCUAUCUGUGGAGCCGACAUCCCUUCAGGCCCUUUGUUUAGACACUUAUGAAAGACGAGAUAUUUUUCGCACAAGAGGUGUUUUUUUCGUUUCCAUUCGUUUUCGUAAUAUACGUGAGCCAUUGGAACUCAUACUCAGCCGUCUAUCUUUUUACCAGUAGAAUAGUUUUAAUCUCGGAGCGUUAUACUACUAUUAUUCGCAGCCAGUUCCACGAUUUCACUUUACCAGCCCGUGGUACAAUAAACGUACCACGUAUUAAACGAAAAAACUCACGCUUACUGAUGACUGCCUGGUACCAUACGGAAAGCGUGAAAUAAAAAAAAUCGACGAAAAAAGAAAAAAAUAAUGCCUGAAAAGGUCAAUCAAAAAAAGAAAACUUGUAUCACGUCCCAAAAGAAUUUUGGCGUCUCUCUAUCACAGUGCAUAUUUCCACGGAAUUUUAUUUAUUUAUUAACAUUUCUCGCCAUAUGAUUUAUUGUACCUUUCAUCCAUUAUCUGAAAUAAAACACUGCCAAAAUUUUA